UCCGGGUGAGCCUGAAAGUGCACCGAUUU
This 29-nucleotide non-coding RNA is filed under the name Mus musculus (house mouse). Lineage: Eukaryota; Metazoa; Chordata; Mammalia; Rodentia; Muridae. The record is from RNAcentral.